GUGUAUGACCCGUGCUGUCAGAAUAACCCCGAUCUAGUAAAACCACGGGAUAAAACGAAAUUGCCGUCACAAAAUACAAGUUGAAAUAUGUCAGGAUAUAAAAAUAGCUCCAUUCAUGUGUAAAUGUUAACAGGGUGAUGUAUAAAUAAGGUGCGUUCAAAAGACCUUUCUUGUCACUUUUUAUCCCAGACCAGUAUGGACUGUCAAACAUAUUUCUUAUAUUCAUGCCUGCUGGUUUAUCUGAUGUUGCAGUUCGCUAUGUCACAAGUAUUGAGCGAGGAAGAUGGAUCCUACGGUGUCUGGGUGCCACCUGUUUCAGUUGGGGAAGGCUGUGUGGUCCUGGACGACCAGAUAUUCUGUUUCGACCAAUAAACGAACGUUUAGCGGCACUGUUGAUGACAACAUGACGAAUGAGCCAAAUAAAACAUCAUUUAUACAUCAUUUUAUUGGAAUUUCAAACACAGCCAUGACGGCAGCGAUACAAGAGAAACUAUCCAGUGAAUAUAAAGUUUAUCAUUGAGACAUAUAUACAAACAACUAUGGUCCAGGUAUGACUCACAAACUGAUUAUUAUGUUGUUUUAGGUGAUAUCAAAACAUUUAUUAAAGAAGUUGACGUAGUGUUAAACACUACGAAGGCAACAACGUGGUAGUAUCGUGCAUUCUAAGGAAAAACAAAAAAUGUGAAAACGUUUUGAAUAAAUGACCGACACAUUUG
Long non-coding RNA from Pecten maximus, 716 nucleotides. RefSeq lists it as uncharacterized. The transcript has 2 exons. The record is from RefSeq and is a predicted model, not a curated record. Lineage: Eukaryota; Metazoa; Mollusca; Bivalvia; Pectinida; Pectinidae.